AGAAUUUGAUCUUGGUUCAGAUUGAAUGCUGACGGCGUGGAUGAGGCAUGCAAGUCGAACGAAGCAGUAGCAAUACUGCUUAGUGGCGGAAGGGUUAGUAAGACAUGGGUAACUUGCCUUUAACAGUGGAAUAACGGUUGGAAACGACCGCUAAUACUACAUGUGGUGAUACAGGGCAUCCUGUAUUCAUUAAAGUGGGGGAUCGCAAGACCUUGCGGUUAAAGAGAGGCCCAUGAGAUAUCAGCUAGUUGGUGUGGUAAAGGCGCACCAAGGCUAAGACGUCUAGGCGGAUUGAGAGAUUGACCGCCAACACUGGGACUGAGAACUGCCCAGACUCCUACGGGAGGCUGCAGUCGAGAAUCAUUCGCAAUGGGCGCAAGCCUGACGAUGCGACGCCGUGUGAGCGAUGAAGGCCUUAGGGUCGUAAAGCUCUUUCGCUUGGGAACAAGAGAAGCAGGUUAAUACCCUGCUGAUUUGAGGGUACCAGGUAAAGAAGCACCGGCUAAAUCCGUGCCAGCAGCCGCGGUAAUACGGAGGGUGCAAGCAUUAAUCGGAUUUAUUGGGCGUAAAGGGCGCGUAGGCGGGAAGAUAAGUCAGAUGUGAAAUCCCGGGGCUCAACCCCGGAACAGCAUUUGAAACUGUUUUUCUAGAGGCUAGAUGGAGAAAACGGAAUUCCACAAGUAGCGGUGAAAUGCGUAGAUAUGUGGAGGAACACCGAUGGCGAAGGCAGCCCCCUGGGCCGAUACUGACGCUCAUGCACGAAAGCGUGGGGAGCAAACAGGAUUAGAUACCCUGGUAGUCCACGCCCUAAACGAUGUCAACUAGGUGUUGGGUGGGUAAAACCAUUUAGUACCGUAGCUAACGCGUGAAGUUGACCGCCUGGGGAGUACGGUCGCA
Molecule: ribosomal RNA, 897 nt
Filed under: freshwater metagenome
Description: bacterial SSU rRNA
Rfam family: Bacterial small subunit ribosomal RNA
Source: RNAcentral